RNAcentral lists this ribosomal RNA (492 nucleotides) under uncultured bacterium. RNAcentral's name for it is "partial 16S ribosomal RNA". It matches the Rfam family "Bacterial small subunit ribosomal RNA", at positions 29 to 507 of the family's 1533-position model. The record is from RNAcentral.
AGUAAACGCUGGCGGUAGGCCUAACACAUGCAAGUCGAACGGCAGCACAGUAAGAGCUUGCUCUUACGGGUGGCGAGUGGCGGACGGGUGAGGAAUACAUCGGAAUCUACUUUUUCGUGGGGGAUAACGUAGGGAAACUUACGCUAAUACCGCAUACGACCUACGGGUGAAAGCAGGGGAUCUUCGGACCUUGCGCGAUUGAAUGAGCCGAUGUCGGAUUAGCUAGUUGGCGGGGUAAAGGCCCACCAAGGCGACGAUCCGUAGCUGGUCUGAGAGGAUGAGCAGCCACACUGGAACUGAGACACGGUCCAGACUCCUACGGGAGGCAGCAGUGGGGAAUAUUGGACAAUGGGCGCAAGCCUGAUCCAGCCAUACCGCGUGGGUGAAGAAGGCCUUCGGGUUGUAAAGCCCUUUUGUUGGGAAAGAAAAGCAGCAGGUUAAUACCCCGCUGUUCUGACGGUACCCAAAGAAUAAGCACCGGCUAACUUCGUG